AGCAAGAUUUUCUUAACACAUAGUGAACAAAAAGUCAAGGAAGAUGACCUCAGAAGACAAACAAAAGAACUGGAAAUGAAGAAGAAGCAAUUACAGAGUGAAAGAGAAAAAGUGGAGAGUCUGAUGAGGAAUCUCAACAAGAAGCAAGAAGAGCUUGAACGUGCAAAGGAAAUCAUGAGUGAAGAAAAAGAAGAGGUGAAACAGAUGAAGACUGACAUUGCCAAAGAACGAGAACUGUUGUUGAAGGAAAGGAGAAAUAUGGAAGAAGAGCGGUCUGAGAUGGAAAUGAGAGGAGACCAAGUCAUGGAUGAAAUGAAAUCACUAGAGAUUCUGAAAGUGAAACUUCAACAACUGAAGCAGCAUAUAAAAGCUAAAACGGACAGAUUACUACAAAAUGUUGACAACAGGUCCAUGCUGCAAACAGUGUUGGAAGAAAAACUUACAACUCAAGACAAACAGAAAGAAAACAUUUGCUGUUUCACUGAAAUGUUAGAUAGAGAAAAGGAAGGUGUGAGAAGUAUCCUUUCAGACAUGGUCACCAAGAGAGAAUGCACAGAAAAAGAAUGGAAGCAGCAGUUUGAACUGGACAAACGAGAUCUUGAUAAACGGAAAGAAGAUCUGAGACAAGACAGAGAAGAUCUGGAGAGAGAAAGUGAGGUGCUGAAUAAAGAGAAAAUGGAUUUGAAGCUGUUGAUGUCUGACAUGAAGAAACAAUUUGAAAUAUUGGAAGAAAAGAGACAAAAUGUAAAAGAAGAGAGAGACUCAAUGGAAAUCAUGAAGCUUGAACUGCUCAAUAAGAUGGAACAUGUAAAAAGGCUGUUAAAUGAGGCAAAUAAAGAAAAAGCCAAUAUUAAAGUUUGUAUCCUUCAGGUUCAAACGGAAAAAGAAAGACUUGAAGACAUUUUAAGCAAGAUUUUCUUAACACAUAGUGAACAAAAAGUCAAGGAAGAUGACCUCAGAAGACAAACAAAAGAACUGGAAAUGAAGAAGAAGCAAUUACAGAGUGAAAGAGAAAAAGUGGAGAGUCUGAUGAGGAAUCUCAACAAGAAGCAAGAAGAGCUUGAACGUGCAAAGGAAAUCAUGAGUGAAGAAAAAGAAGAGGUGAAACAGAUGAAGACUGACAUUGCCAAAGAACGAGAACUGUUGUUGAAGGAAAGGAGAAAUAUGGAAGAAGAGCGGUCUGAGAUGGAAAUGAGAGGAGACCAAGUCAUGGAUGAAAUGAAAUCACUAGAGAUUCUGAAAGUGAAACUUCAACAACUGAAGCAGCAUAUAAAAGCUAAAACGGACAGAUUACUACAAAAUGUUGACAACAGGUCCAUGCUGCAAACAGUGUUGGAAGAAAAACUUACAACUCAAGACAAACAGAAAGAAAACAUUUGCUAUUUCACUGAAAUGUUAGAGAGGAAAGGAAGGUGUGAGAAUAUCCUUUCAGACAUGAUCACCAAGAGAGAAUGCACAGAAAAAGAAUGGAAGCAGCAGUUUGAACUGGACAAACGAGAUCUUGAUAAACGGAAAGAAGAUCUGAGACAAGACAGAGAAGAUCUGGAGAGAGAAAGUGAGGUGCUGAAUAAAGAGAAAAUGGAUUUGAAGCUGUUGAUGUCUGACAUGAAGAAACAAUUUGAAAUAUUGGAAGAAAAGAGACAAAAUGUAAAAGAAGAGAGAGACUCAAUGGAAAUCAUAAAGCUUGAACUGCUCAAUAAGAUGGAACAUGUAAAAAGGCUGUUAAAUGAGGCAAAUGAAGAAAAGAGACAAAAUGUAAAAGAAGAGAGAGACUCAAUGGAAAUCAUGAAGCUUGAACUGCUCAAUAAGAUGGAACAUGUAAAAAGGCUGUUACAUGAGGCAAAUGAAGAAAAGAGACAAAAUGUAAAAGAAGAGAGAGACUCAAUGGAAAUCAUGAAGCUUGAACUGCUCAAUAAGAUGGAACAUGUAAAAAGGCUGUUAAAUGAGGCAAAUAAAGAAAAAGCCAAUAUUAAAGUUUGUAUCCUUCAGGUUCAAACGGAAAAAGAAAGACUUGAAGACAUUUUAAGCAAGAUUUUCUUAACACAUAGUGAACAAAAAGUCAAGGAAGAUGACCUCAGAAGACAAACAAAAGAACUGGAAAU
This 2102-nucleotide long non-coding RNA is filed under the name Oreochromis niloticus (Nile tilapia). RNAcentral describes it as "lncRNA (ENSONIG00000023676.2)". The record is from RNAcentral. Lineage: Eukaryota; Metazoa; Chordata; Actinopteri; Cichliformes; Cichlidae.